GCCUGGGUGGCUCAGAGGUUGAGCAUCUGCCUUCGGCUCAGAUCCUGGGUUCAAGUCCCACAUCGGGCU
RNAcentral lists this transfer RNA (69 nucleotides) under Canis lupus familiaris (dog). It matches the Rfam family "tRNA". Rfam says of the family: Transfer RNA (tRNA) molecules are approximately 80 nucleotides in length. The record is from Rfam by way of RNAcentral. RNAcentral also lists the same sequence under 1 other name. Lineage: Eukaryota; Metazoa; Chordata; Mammalia; Carnivora; Canidae.